UACGGAGGGUGCAAGCGUUGUUCGGAAUCAUUGGGCGUAAAGCGCGUGUAGGCGGCUAGGCAAGUCGGUUGUGAAAGCCCGGGGCCCAACCCCGGAACUGCAUCUGAAACUGCCUGGCUAGAGUCCCGGAGAGGAAGGCAGAAUUCCCGGUGUAGGGGUGAAAUGCGCAGAUAUCGGGAGGAACACCCGUAGCGAAGGCGGCACUCUGGGCCGGUACUGACGCUGAGGAGCGAAAGCGUGGGGAGCAAACAGG
Molecule: ribosomal RNA, 253 nt
Filed under: uncultured bacterium
Lineage: Bacteria
Description: partial 16S ribosomal RNA
Rfam family: Bacterial small subunit ribosomal RNA
Source: RNAcentral